UUGCUUUUUGGGUCACACCGAGCGAUGCUCAGGGGUUACUCCUGGCUUUGCACUCAGGAAUUACUCCUGGUGGUGCUUGGGGGACCAUAUGGGAUGCCGGGGAUCGAACCCGGGUCGGCCGCGUGCAAGGCAAACGCCCUACCCGCUGUGCUAUCGCUCCGGCCCCCUGCCCCCAUUCUUGAGGUCACAUGUGACUACACACACAACCACACACACUUUCCUUUUUUUUUUUUUUGAGCCACACCCAACGAUGCUCAGGAAUCAGUCGCUCCUGGUGGUGCUCGGGGGACCAUACACGAUGCUGGGGAUCGAACCUGGGUCCAUGUACAAGAGGCCCAUGGAGCCGAGAGCAGGAAACCAGGCCUAGAGACGGGGUGCCGCGGGCCAUGUGCUUGGGGACACGCACCUCCCAUCUUCUCGCCUUUGCCCUCCUCAUCUCCGGGCACGCAGUUCCUCUCGGCUUCGAGGCCCCUGCAGGUCACACCCAGCAACGCACAGGGGUUAUUCCUGGCUCAUGCACUCAGAAAUUACUCCUGGCAGUGCUCGGGAGACCAUAUGGAUGCUGGGAAUCAAACCCGGGUCGGCCGCGUGCAAGGCAAACACCCUACCCGCUGUGCUAUCGCUCCAGCCCCCAGCCCCCCCUUUCAAAUCAAGCUCCAGCCCGUCACUUCAUUGGAGAAAAU
Sorex araneus (European shrew) is the source of this 683-nucleotide long non-coding RNA. RefSeq lists it as uncharacterized. Lineage: Eukaryota; Metazoa; Chordata; Mammalia; Eulipotyphla; Soricidae. The record is from RefSeq and is a predicted model, not a curated record. The transcript has 3 exons.